Molecule: ribosomal RNA, 497 nt
Filed under: uncultured bacterium
Lineage: Bacteria
Description: partial 16S ribosomal RNA
Rfam family: Bacterial small subunit ribosomal RNA
Source: RNAcentral
GAUGAACGCUGGCGGCGUGCCUAAUACAUGCCAGUCGAGCGAACAGACGAGGAGCUUGCUCCUCUGACGUUAGCGGCGGACGGGUGAGUAACACGUGGAUAACCUACCUAUAAGACUGGGAUAACUUCGGGAAACCGGAGCUAAUACCGGAUAAUAUAUUGAACCGCAUGGUUCAAUAGUGAAAGACGGUUUUGCUGUCACUUAUAGAUGGAUCCGCGCCGCAUUAGCUAGUUGGUAAGGUAACGGCUUACCAAGGCAACGAUGCGUAGCCGACCUGAGAGGGUGAUCGGCCACACUGGAGCGGAGACACGGUCCAGACUCCUACGGGAGGCAGCAGUAGGGAAUCUGCCGCAAUGGGCGAAAGCCUGACGGAGCAACGCCGCGUGAGUGAUGAAGGUCUUCGGAUCGUAAAACUCUGUUAUUAGGGAAGAACAAAUGUGUAAGUAACUAUGCACGUCUUGACGGUACCUAAUCAGAAAGCCACGGCUAACUACGUG